GUACGGAAGGCAGCAGUGGGGAAUAUUGCACAAUGGGCGAAAGCCUGAUGCAGCAACGCCGCGUGAGCGAUGAAGGCCUUCGGGUUGUAAAGCUCUGUCUUUGGGGACGAAAAAAUGACGGUACCCAAGGAGGAAGCCACGGCUAACUACGUGCCAGCAGCCGCGGUAAUACGUAGGUGGCAAGCGUUGUCCGGAAUUACUGGGCGUAAAGAAUGCGUAGGCGGUUUUUUAAGUGGGAUGUGAAAUCCCUGGGCUCAACCCAGGAACUGCAUUCCAAACUGGAGAACUAGAGUGCGGGAGAGGAAAUUGGUAUUCCCAGUGUAGCGGUGAAAUGCGUAGAGAUUGGGAGGAACACCAGUAGCGAAGGCGAAUUUCUGGAACGUAACUGACGCUGAGGCAUGAAACCGUGGGGAGCAAACAGGAUUAGAUACCCUGGUAGUCCG
RNAcentral lists this ribosomal RNA (443 nucleotides) under uncultured bacterium. RNAcentral's name for it is "bacterial SSU rRNA". It matches the Rfam family "Bacterial small subunit ribosomal RNA", at positions 339 to 797 of the family's 1533-position model. The record is from RNAcentral.